GGAAGGAGUCUCAGAAGAGUAUGUGUCAACCAAUAAUAAAAUCAGAUGGCCCCGGAGCUCAUUUCUGUUUAGUGGGGAUGCAUCCAGUAAAUGCUGAAAGCACCUUGUCAGUUAGACUGAUAAAAAAAAAAAAAAAAAAAAAAAAAAGCUGCUCUCACAGAUAGCCUCUGUAUAUCUGUAUUAGUCAGGGCUCUCUAAGGGAACAGAACCAAGAGAAUGAACAUAUCUUAAAAGGGCAUUUAGUAGAUUGGCUUGCACAGUAGGGGCUGAGUUGUCCAAUAAUGGCCGUCUACAUCCAGAAAAGCUAAAAUCCCAGUAGCUGCGAGUCCCUGCGGCCAGAUGUCUGCCUCAGCCUCUCAACAUGACACUGGAGGCAUGGAGCAUUCCUGGAGGGCCCUGGUCAUCAGCCCGUGUUGGAAAGUUGAGGAAGCUGGGUUCAGAAGUCAAUGAAUGAUAUAGAUACCCGAGAACAGAAGGGAAAGCAGACAAGUGUAAAGCCCUAGCCUCUACUCUGUUAUAUUUGGUCUACAAAUUUUAGGGGAGAUCUUAUGUUGCAACUAAUCCUUCUCACAGAGCCUCCCAGGGCUGUGUCUCUAUUGAUUCAGAAUCCAGCUGUGUUGGUACAGUUAACCAUCACUGUGCCUUAGAGUACUUAAGGUAGAAAUCAGAGCGCAGGGUGCCCCCCUUUCCUAAACCCUGGCUUUCCUGAGCAUGCUGCUUUUUGUUUUGAGGAAUUUUUAAAAAUUAUUUACUUAGAGGCAGAGGCCUACCUGACUCAGCAAUGGUGGUGAGAGACCAGCCUGUGGGAAGGUUCUUUCCUUCCGCCAUGUGGGACCUGGUUUUCAGAUUCGUGUUGUCAGGCUUAGGGGUAGUCACCCUUACCCACUGAGCCAUCUUGCCUACCCCCCUGACUGUCUUACAAAGAUCCUCAUAGUCCAGAAGAAAGACAAGAGCCACUUUUAUGGACUUCUUUGUUUCUUUCUGUUUACUCCAGAACACUGCCUGGUCCAGGCUCACACUGUUUUGUCUUCUAGGCCAAGUCGAAUCUCUGGCUUCAUAUUGUCUAUUUUCUAACUACGGACGAGUAUGAUUUAUUAGCUUUUGUCUCCAGCUGUUCCCAAAAAUGGGACCUUUUAUUGUAGAAGGGAAAUUGUUGAAGUCCCAUCACCUGCAGAAUAGAACUUGGCUCUUUCUUCCCCCAAAUUAACUAAGAUCAGUCCGUUUUCAGCGGGCAGUAUCCUUUUAUUAGUUUUAAUUCAUUUUUCUGCACAUCUGAUUUUUUAUUCAUAAUGCUUUUGAUGAAAAUUAAUUAGUUUCUUUUACAGCUGAGACAAUAUUGUUGUGGGCACCUAGGCAUUGUUAUACAAAAAAGCUUCAUUGUAAAGGCCACCCCAGGACUCCCAGUCUGAGUCCUUACUGAAGACACUGGGUCACACCAUGAGGCCCUGGGAACAUGUGAGCUCUGUGACUGCAGAGGUCCGAGCCUCAGUUUCUCCCUCAGUACAGUAAGGACUUUGACUCAGUUAAAUUGUAAGCUUUCUUUGAUGGGCCCGUCAAAAGGAGACAGAUGUGUAGCAAUGUGACAUGUAGAUCAGAGAGAUUCAUACUAAAACUGAUUCCUGUCAUACUGCUUGAGCAUCGUCAUCUCCCAUCAGAAACUGUCAAUCACCAAGUAACCAUUUAGGGAAAAUGGGAAGUGGUAAGUAGAGAAGAGGGUGAGGAGACAUGCUCCCCAAAUCUAAUCACUGAGACAUGGAAAAGCUUGAACAUGCUCACCUGGAGAGGCCUGGGCACACUCACUCAUCUGCAGGGGCCUGGGAACCGUCACCUGGGUGCUUUUACCUGAAAGGAUCUGGCAGCUCUCACAUGGGUCCUGCCACAGGGAAGCACCUGACAGCUCCCAGGGAAAGCUUGGGCUCCUCCCUAGAGUGUCACUCUCAUGCUCACCUUGUUUCUGGGUCCCAUCAAGUUUGAGAUCGAGGCCUUUGCCUCGAUUCCCCAUACACAGCUUUCCUACAGCUUAAUCUCUUUUGCAACUGGAAACUGUAAAAUCAAAUUUCACUAACUGAAAACACCAAAAUCAAAACAAAACCCCACUUCUCUAACAAUAGUUUCAGCAAGGAAGAAUUCGGGGAGAAAAAAAGAUCACAUUUUUAAAGUGUGAUGGUUUCACGCCAACAGCAGCUUUCCAGUUAUCGUUCCAUCUCGUUGCUGUCUGCCUUAGGCCCUGCAGACAAAAGUCAACCCAUUUACCUACCCGUGCAGCUGUGGUCAGAUUAAGCAGGAGCCUUCAUUUUUAUGAGACAUAGCAUUCUGUUUUUGCAAAAACCCAUUAUGAGUCGAACCAACUGAAUUAAUCAAAUUAUCAUUUACUUACCAAAUGCUCCUUUAUUAGCUGCAGCAUGCGCUUCAGCAGAGCCCCUCCCACCACUCAAGAGGUCAGGGUGGGGGUGGGCUGGAGAGCAGGAUUCUGGCCUUGUGAGGUUAACUACCCAGAGAAAGAGCCACUGAGGGUUCAGCCAGAAAGUGAGACGUGAGGUGAACUCACCAAAAGAAUGAGGGAAGAACCAUUGGCUCAAACGGAAAAAGGCUGAAAGUCUACAUACUCUAAGCAUGCCUGGAAGACAGUCAAGUAAUGCAACUGCCUCCGAAAGGCAAAAAGAUUGGGACUGGGAGAUGCCACAGCCGGUGAAGUAUUUGCUGUGCAAGCAUGAGUACCCGAGUAGGAUCUCCAAUACCCAAGUCAAAGCCAGGCAUCAGAGCAUGUGUCCCUAACCCUAGCUGGGCACUGGAGAGCAAAGACAGGAGCUUCACCCUGUUCGAGCUGGUGAGCUCCAGGCUCACUUAGAGACCCCAUCCC
Molecule: long non-coding RNA, 2860 nt
Filed under: Mus musculus (house mouse)
Lineage: Eukaryota; Metazoa; Chordata; Mammalia; Rodentia; Muridae
Description: long non-coding RNA chr5:141816609-141819469
Source: RNAcentral